GGAAGAGCCUGUGGCUCAGGGGCAGAGCCGCUGCUUUACAUGCAUAUGCUCCUGGGUUCAAUCCUCAGCAUCUCCC
Molecule: non-coding RNA, 76 nt
Organism: Podarcis lilfordi (Lilford's wall lizard)
Lineage: Eukaryota; Metazoa; Chordata; Lepidosauria; Squamata; Lacertidae
Source: the annotation of a GenBank genome assembly